Molecule: ribosomal RNA, 435 nt
Filed under: uncultured bacterium
Lineage: Bacteria
Description: bacterial SSU rRNA
Rfam family: Bacterial small subunit ribosomal RNA
Source: RNAcentral
AACGCGAAGAACCUUACCUGGGUUUGACAUGGCGGCUAAAGCCUCAGAGAUGGGGUGUCCUUCGGGGGCCGUCACAGGUGGUGCAUGGCUGUCGUCAGCUCGUGUCGUGAGAUGUUGGGUUAAGUCCCGCAACGAGCGCAACCCUCGUUCCAUGUUGCCAGCGGGUAAUGCCGGGGACUCAUGGGAGACUGCCGGGGUCAACUCGGAGGAAGGUGGGGAUGACGUCAAGUCAUCAUGCCCCUUAUGUCCAGGGCUACACACGUGCUACAAUGGUCGGUACAAACGGUCGCGAACCUGCGAAGGGGAGCUAAUCCGAAAAAACCGGCCUCAGUACGGAUAAGAGUCUGCAACUCGACUCUUUGAAGUCGGAAUCGCUAGUAAUCGCUGAUCAGCAGGCAGCGGUGAAUACGUUCCCGGGUCUUGUACACACCGCCU